CUAGCAGUAUCAGAGUUUGAUCCUGGCUCAGGAUGAACGCUAGCGGCAGGCCUAAUACAUGCAAGUCGAACGAAGCAGCAAUGCUUAGUGGCGCACGGGUGCGUAACACGUAUGUAACCUACCUUUUACUGGGGGAUAACUUCUCGAAAGAGAAGCUAAUACCGCAUAAUACAUUAAAGUCACCUGAUUUAAAUGUUAAAGAUUUAUUGGUAAAAGAUGGGCAUGCGUCCAAUUAGCUAGUUGGUAGUGUAACGGACUACCAAGGCUACGAUUGGUAGGGGGUCUGAGAGGAUGGUCCCCCACACUGGUACUGAGAUACGGACCAG
RNAcentral lists this ribosomal RNA (326 nucleotides) under uncultured bacterium. Its description in RNAcentral is "bacterial SSU rRNA". It matches the Rfam family "Bacterial small subunit ribosomal RNA", at positions 1 to 334 of the family's 1533-position model. The record is from RNAcentral.